Molecule: ribosomal RNA, 498 nt
Filed under: uncultured bacterium
Lineage: Bacteria
Description: partial 16S ribosomal RNA
Rfam family: Bacterial small subunit ribosomal RNA
Source: RNAcentral
ACGAACGCUGGCGGCGUGCCUAAUACAUGCAAGUCGAGCGAAGUUUUUCUGGUGCUUGCACUAGAAAAACUUAGCGGCGAACGGGUGAGUAACACGUAAAGAACCUGCCUCAUAGACUGGGACAACUAUUGGAAACGAUAGCUAAUACCGGAUAACAGUAUUUCUCGCAUGAGAGAUAUUUAAAAGUUGGUUAUGCUAACACUAUGAGAUGGCUUUGCGGUGCAUUAGCUAGUUGGUGGGGUAAAGGCCCACCAAGGCGACGAUGCAUAGCCGACCUGAGAGGGUGAUCGGCCACACUGGGACUGAGACACGGCCCAGACUCCUACGGGAGGCAGCAGUAGGGAAUCUUCCGCAAUGGGCGAAAGCCUGACGGAGCAACGCCGCGUGAGUGAAGAAGGAUUUCGGUUCGUAAAGCUCUGUUGUUGGGGAAGAAUGGAUAUGUAGUAACUAUACAUGUAAGAGACGGUACCUAACCAGAAAGCCACGGCUAACUACGUG